UCCACGCCCUAAACGAUGAACACUAGUCGUCGGGAUGCUAGUCAUCUCGGUGAUGCACUUAACAGAUUAAGUGUUCCGCCUGGGGAGUACGGUCGCAAGAUUAAAACUCAAAGGAAUAGACGGGGACCCGCACAAGUGGUGGAGCAUGUGGUUUAAUUCGAAAAUACGCGAAGAACCUUACCUAGCCUUGACAUUGAAGAAACACUCUAUCUCUAGUGUGUUUCUUCAAUGUC
This 233-nucleotide ribosomal RNA is filed under the name uncultured bacterium. RNAcentral describes it as "partial 16S ribosomal RNA". It matches the Rfam family "Bacterial small subunit ribosomal RNA", at positions 794 to 1028 of the family's 1533-position model. The record is from RNAcentral.